This is a non-coding RNA of Sturnus vulgaris (Common starling), 1128 nucleotides long. The record is from RefSeq and is a predicted model, not a curated record. Lineage: Eukaryota; Metazoa; Chordata; Aves; Passeriformes; Sturnidae.
GAGCAAGUGUCACCAGAGCCAGGGCUCAACCAGGGGGAGCGGAUAAAGGCAACACAGCCUGCCCUGGGUAAAAGACACCUGCAGAGAACAUGGCAAUGGAGAUUAGGGCAAGGAAGACAGAUUCAACUGCCAACAGGCUGGAAAGGAUGAAGUGACAGGAAAGCAAACAUACUCCCAGCAAUUUCCAGAGAUGCUAAUGAAGAGAACAAAGCUUUGUGAGACUUGGGACAACAGGACAGAGCAGCUCAACUUUGUCACAAGAAGAGAGGUGCAUACAUCAUGGAAUUCACAGAAUCACAAGCACAUUUACUGUGGAAAUACAUUCUACCAAAAUUGGGAUUUCACCCAGCAUAGCUACAGCACAGAAAUGUUCCCAGGCUGGAAUAGCUGUCCCUUUCCACAAUCUAAAACUUUGAUUCACUUUCUGUGUAACAUUUGUCUGCAAGUGCCACUGAAAGCUGAGGUUUGCUACCAGGAAGGUGGGAAAACUUUUAUCAGUCCAAAAGGCCAUAAACCAGUUUCGACCAAAACAAUGGAGUAAUUCUUAUUGGAUAUACAAGGUUAACAUUAAAAGCCUGUAAUUGCUUUCCUACUGUCAAAAUAAAAUGGGUAACAGGAAGGAAAGGAAACAGAAUUUUUGCAUACUUGAAGACUUCAAACAGAAAAGGCUGCCACAUGAUCAAAAAGAGUUUUAGAAUAAUAAUAAAGAUGGGUGGGAGACAGAACAGAUAGCUUCCCACAGAAACAUACUAUUUUCUGACUAUACACACACCUCUAAAUAGUGAAAGGAAGAUGUAAGUAAGACAUGAUUGCACAGCAUUACAAGAUUUAUAUUAAGGAUCUUGGUCUAAAGGAAAUUAGGCAAAAAUUAGGAAUAUUAUUUGUUAGAAUGUGUUCAAGAUAUUAAAUUUGUUUUUCUCCUAUGUAGUCAAUGCUUUGCCUAUACUUUGGAUUAGCUCCAAUCCAUUAAUGAAUGGCCAACAGGUGCUUGAAACUCAUAAAAACAUAAAUAUGAUAAAAUAUUUGGUGAAAGUGGUGUCUUGGCUACACUAUGGACUUGACUGCAGUGUGAGUGCUACCAAGUGAUAAUCGAAUUCUAUGUGAAAGUAAGACCGAAAUUUGAUGAGA